RNAcentral lists this ribosomal RNA (653 nucleotides) under uncultured Lactobacillus sp. RNAcentral's name for it is "bacterial SSU rRNA". It matches the Rfam family "Bacterial small subunit ribosomal RNA", at positions 1 to 656 of the family's 1533-position model. The record is from RNAcentral. Lineage: Bacteria; Bacillati; Bacillota; Bacilli; Lactobacillales; Lactobacillaceae.
UCGGCUUAGAGUUUGAUCAUGGCUCAGGACGAACGCUGGCGGCGUGCCUAAUACAUGCAAGUCGAACGAAUUGGUGCUUGCAUCAUUGAGUGGCGAACUGGUGAGUAACACGUGGGAAACCUGCCCAGAAGCGGGGGAUAACACCUGGAAACAGAUGCUAAUACCGCAUAACAACUUGACCGCAUGGUCCAAGUUGAAAGAUGUUCGUAUCACUUUUGGAUGGUCCCGCGGCGUAUUAGCUAGAUGGUGGGGUAACGGCUCACCAUGGCAAUGAUACGUAGCCGACCUGAGAGGGUAAUCGGCCACAUUGGGACUGAGACACGGCCCAAACUCCUACGGGAGGCAGCAGUAGGGAAUCUUCCACAAUGGACGAAAGUCUGAUGGAGCAACGCCGCGUGAGUGAAGAAGGGUUUCGGCUCGUAAAACUCUGUUGUUAAAGAAGAACAUAUCUGAGGUAAUUCAGGUAUUGACGGUAUUUAACCAGAAAGCCACGGCUAACUACGUGCCAGCAGCCGCGGUAAUACGUAUGUGGCAAGCGUUGUCCGGAUUUAUUGGGCGUAAAGCGAGCGCAGCGGUUUUUUAAGUCUGAUGUGAAAGCCUUCGGCUCAACCGAAGAAGUGCAUCGGAAACUGGGAAACUUGAGUGCAGAGGAG